Schizosaccharomyces pombe (fission yeast) is the source of this 823-nucleotide non-coding RNA. The record is from the annotation of a GenBank genome assembly. Lineage: Eukaryota; Fungi; Ascomycota; Schizosaccharomycetes; Schizosaccharomycetales; Schizosaccharomycetaceae.
AAAAGUCCCAAGUAUAAAUUGCACUCGUAUAGCUGCUGCACCGUCGCAUUGCUUCAUUGUGUACAAGGCAAGCAAGUUUCUCAAUAUUUUUUCGAAUUACAUACUGCCCACUCGGGGAUCUAUUUGACAAUAUGGAUGAGGCUUGAUUUUGAAACCCAAGUUUCUGAAAACUCCACCGUAGAAUUGAAAAAAUAGAAAAACCGUCUUCUCUUACUAAAUUUCCUUUUUUACAAUCGUUCAAAAAGUCUUGCUUACGAAGCCAAACCCCUUGCUGGAUCCAGUAAGCCUAUAUGCUUAUUAGCUUCAAAAAAAAUGCUUAAUUCACGUACCGCAACAGCACCAAGGCUCAAAGGUCUACCUAAAGCAGGACUUGAAAACGCACUUUCAAAAGUCUCAUCGAAAACUAAGAUUAUCCUAGAAUUCAACUUCCCAGACCAUGCGGAUGUUUCAAUUGCUUCUCUCCAAGUAUUUACGUUUGCCAAAAAUCCUUCAGGAUUUUUUAUAAACAGACUCGUAAAGUCAGAAUACAGGCUUUUUAAACGAGUUUUUGUAAAAAUUCCUUUAUUAACAGAAAAUUCCAAAGCAUUGACUUUCUCCUUUUUUCCCAUUCUGUCGUAUAUUCCUGAAGCUACCUGCGUGGUUUACUAUAUACAGUUUUCAAACAGAAUUAAUGGUAUGAGGUGACUUGUCACUUGUACUUUUGUAAUGUUACAAAUUGCUAAAUUUGGAGUUCUAAUAAGGUGCUGAUGAUUUGUUUUCAAAAAUUCAGACAAUGAACAAUUUAUUCUAAAACUGAUAAGAUAGACAAGUUAUAAUAACAUCA